This 707-nucleotide ribosomal RNA is filed under the name Kusaghiporia persicina. Its description in RNAcentral is "partial large subunit ribosomal RNA". It matches the Rfam family "Eukaryotic large subunit ribosomal RNA", at positions 40 to 686 of the family's 3401-position model. Lineage: Eukaryota; Fungi; Basidiomycota; Agaricomycetes; Polyporales; Laetiporaceae. The record is from RNAcentral.
AUAUCAAUAAGCGGAGGAAAAGAAACUAACAAGGAUUCCCCUAGUAACUGCGAGUGAAGCGGGAAAAGCUCAAAUUUAAAAUCUGGCGGUCUUUGGCCGUCCGAAUUGUAGCCUAGAGAAGCGUUUUCUGCGCCGGACCGUGUACAAGUCCCUUGGAACAGGGCAUCAUAGAGGGUGAGAAUCCCGUACAUGACACGCUCCACCGGUGCUUUGUGAUGCGCUCUCGACGAGUCGAGUUGUUUGGGAAUGCAGCUCAAAAUGGGUGGUAAAUUCCAUCUAAAGCUAAAUACAGGCGAGAGACCGAUAGCGAACAAGUACCGUGAGGGAAAGAUGAAAAGCACUUUGGAAAGAGAGUUAAACAGUACGUGAAAUUGCUGAAAGGGAAACGCUUCAAGUCAGUCGUGUCGGCCAGGACUCAACCCCCCCGAAAGGUGUGGGUGUACUUCCUGGUUGAUGGGUCAGCAUCGAUUUUGGCCACCGGAAAAGGGUUGGAGGAAUGUGGCACCCUCUUUUCGGGGGGUGUGUUUAUAGCCUUUGAUCGGAUGCGGUGGUUGGGAUCGAGGAAAGCAGCACGCGUGAAAUGAAGGACUUUUUGUUUUUUCGUUUUGCGACCCGGGGUUCGCCCACGAUUGACGUGCUUAGGAUGCUGGCGUAAUGGCUUGAAACGACCCGUCUUGAAACACGGACCAAGGAGUCUAACAUGCCUG